This 440-nucleotide ribosomal RNA is filed under the name uncultured bacterium. Its description in RNAcentral is "partial 16S ribosomal RNA". It matches the Rfam family "Bacterial small subunit ribosomal RNA", at positions 338 to 795 of the family's 1533-position model. The record is from RNAcentral.
CCUACGGGUGGCAGCAGUGGGGAAUAUUGCACAAUGGGGGGAACCCUGAUGCAGCGACGCCGCGUGAGUGAAGAAGUAUUUCGGUAUGUAAAGCUCUAUCAGCAGGGAAGAAAAUGACGGUACCUGACUAAGAAGCCCCGGCUAACUACGUGCCAGCAGCCGCGGUAAUACGUAGGGGGCAAGCGUUAUCCGGAUUUACUGGGUGUAAAGGGAGCGUAGACGGUUAUGCAAGUCUGAAGUGAAAGCCCAAGGCUCAACCAUGGGACUGCUUUGGAAACUGUAAAACUGGAGUGCAGGAGAGGAGAAUGGAAUUCCUAGUGUAGCGGUGAAAUGCGUAGAGAUUAGGAAGAACACCAGUGGCGAAGGCGAUUCUCUGGACUGUAACUGACGCUGAGGCUCGAAAGCGUGGGGAGCAAACAGGAUUAGAUACCCGUGUAGUC